UACAGAGGUCCCAAGCGUUGUUCGGAUUCACUGGGCGUAAAGGGUGCGUAGGUGGCGAGGUAAGUCGGAUGUGAAAGCUCGGAGCUCAACUCCGAAAUGGCAUUGGAAACUACCUUGCUUGAGGGUUGGAAGGGGGACUGGAAUUCUCGGUGUAGCAGUGAAAUGCGUAGAUAUCGAGAGGAACACCAGGUGGCGAAGGCGAGUCCCUGGACAAUACCUGACACUGAGGCACGAAAGCUAGGGGAGCAAACAGG
This 254-nucleotide ribosomal RNA is filed under the name uncultured bacterium. RNAcentral describes it as "partial 16S ribosomal RNA". It matches the Rfam family "Bacterial small subunit ribosomal RNA", at positions 524 to 776 of the family's 1533-position model. The record is from RNAcentral.